GAUGAACGCUGGCGGCGUGCCUAACACAUGCAAGUCGAGCGGCAGCGAGGGGUGCUUGCACCCUGCCGGCGAGCGGCGGACGGCUGAGUAACGCGUGGGAACGUGCCCCAAAGUGAGGAAUAACUGCCCGAAAGGGUAGCUAAUACCGCAUAUUAUCUUCGGAUCAAAGGAUUUAUCCGCUUUGGGAGCGGCUCGCGUCGGAUUAGGUAGUUGGUGAGGUAAUGGCUCACCAAGCCGACGAUCCGUAGCUGGUCUGAGAGGAUGACCAGCCAGACUGGAAAUGAGACACGGUCCAGACUCCUACGGGAGGCAGCAGUGAGGAAUCUUCCACAAUGGGCGAAAGCCUGAUGGAGCAACGCCGCGUGCAGGACGAAGGCCUUCGGGUUGUAAACUGCUUUUAUAAGUGAGGAAUAUGACGGUAACUUAUGAAUAAGGAUCGGCUAACUACGUG
This 451-nucleotide ribosomal RNA is filed under the name uncultured bacterium. RNAcentral describes it as "partial 16S ribosomal RNA". It matches the Rfam family "Bacterial small subunit ribosomal RNA", at positions 28 to 507 of the family's 1533-position model. The record is from RNAcentral.